GCGCAUGCUGCAGCAAGUUAGUCUGCUGAACUUUGAUAGCUUGCAAACGGCAUUAGUUUACCAAAUUUAGAAACAAUGCUCGGGAGCAACACUGGUAUUGGAAAGGCUACUGCUUUGGAUUUGACCAAGAGAGGUGCCAGGGUCAUCCCUGCCUGCCGCAGCAAACAGAAGGCAGAGGCUGCUGUCUAUGAUAUCAGAAGGGUUAGAGGAGCCUUAUAGAUGAAAUAAAUAAUGGAGCCGGGGGAACGAGGUGGUGUUCAUGCAGCUGCAUCUGGGGAGUCUGAAGUCUGUUCGGGGGAACGAGGUGGUGUUCAUGCAGCUGCAUCUGGGGAGUCUGAAGUCUGUUCUGGGGAGGG
Long non-coding RNA from Oncorhynchus tshawytscha (Chinook salmon), 356 nucleotides. The record is from Ensembl. Lineage: Eukaryota; Metazoa; Chordata; Actinopteri; Salmoniformes; Salmonidae.